This 805-nucleotide ribosomal RNA is filed under the name uncultured organism. Its description in RNAcentral is "bacterial SSU rRNA". It matches the Rfam family "Bacterial small subunit ribosomal RNA", at positions 505 to 1326 of the family's 1533-position model. The record is from RNAcentral.
GUGCCAGCAGCCGCGGUAAAACGUAGGGGACAAGCGUUAUCCGGAUUCACUGGGCGUAAAGAGCGUGAGGGCGGUUCCGUAAGUUGGGCGUGAAAGCUCCGGGCUUAGCCCGGAGAUGUCGUUCAAUACUGCGGGGCUUGAGGACAGCAGAGGAAGGUGGAAUUCCCGGUGUAGUGGUGAAAUGCGUAGAUAUCGGGAGGAACACCCGUGGCGAAGGCGGCCUUCUGGGCUGUUCCUGACGCUGAAGGCGAAAGCUAGGGGAGCGAACGGGAUUAGAUACCCCGGUAGUCCUAGCUGUAAACGAUGGAUGCUGGGUGUGGGGGGUGUAAAUUCCCUCUGUGCCGAAGCAAACGCGUUAAGCAUCCCGCCUGGGGACUACGGCCGCAAGGCUAAAACUCAAACGAAUUGACGGGGGCCCGCACAAGCAGCGGAGCGUGUGGUUUAAUUCGAUGCUACACGAAGAACCUUACCUGGGUUUGACAUGCACGUGGUAGGGAACCGAAAGGGGACCGACCUUCGGGAGCGUGCACAGGUGCUGCAUGGCUGUCGUCAGCUCGUGCCGUGAGGUGUCGGGUUAAGUCCCGUAACGAGCGCAACCCUUGCCCUUAGUUACAAGUGUCUAAGGGGACUGCCCGGGACAACUGGGAGGAAGGUGGGGAUGACGUCAAGUCAGCAUGGCCUUUAUAUCCAGGGCUACACACACGCUACAAUGGCCAGUACAAUAGGUAGCCAAGUCGUGAGACGGAGCCAAUCCUUAAAGCUGGUCUCAGUUCGAAUUGCAGUCUGCAACUCGACUGCAUGAAGC